CUAUAAUGCAGUCGAGCGGAUCUUCAUUAGCUUGCUUUUGAAGAUCAGCGGCGGACGGGUGAGUAACACGUGGGCAACCUGCCUGUAAGACUGGGAUAACUUCGGGAAACCGGAGCUAAUACCGGAUAAUCCUUUCCCUCACAUGAGGGAAAGCUGAAAGACGGUUUCGGCUGUCACUUACAGAUGGGCCCGCGGCGCAUUAGCUAGUUGGUGAGGUAACGGCUCACCAAGGCAACGAUGCGUAGCCGACCUGAGAGGGUGAUCGGCCACACUGGGACUGAGACACGGCCCAGACUCCUACGGGAGGCAGCAGUAGGGAAUCUUCCGCAAUGGACGAAAGUCUGACGGAGCAACGCCGCGUGAACGAUGAAGGCUUUCGGGUCGUAAAGUUCUGUUGUCAGGGAAGAACAAGUACCGGAGUAACUGCCGGUACCUUGACGGUACCUGACCAGAAAGCCACGGCUAACUACGUGCCAGCAGCCGCGGUAAUACGUAGGUGGCAAGCGUUGUCCGGAAUUAUUGGGCGUAAAGCGCGCGCAGGCGGUUCCUUAAGUCUGAUGUGAAAGCCCCCGGCUCAACCGGGGAGGGUCAUUGGAAACUGGGGAACUUGAGUGCAGAAGAGGAGAGCGGAAUUCCACGUGUAGCGGUGAAAUGCGUAGAGAUGUGGAGGAACACCAGUGGCGAAGGCG
This 689-nucleotide ribosomal RNA is filed under the name Bacillus sp. (in: firmicutes). RNAcentral's name for it is "bacterial SSU rRNA". It matches the Rfam family "Bacterial small subunit ribosomal RNA", at positions 51 to 723 of the family's 1533-position model. The record is from RNAcentral. Lineage: Bacteria; Bacillati; Bacillota; Bacilli; Caryophanales; Bacillaceae.